This 274-nucleotide long non-coding RNA is filed under the name Sorghum bicolor (sorghum). Its description in RNAcentral is "long non-coding RNA (SBIC_LNC014275)". The record is from RNAcentral. Lineage: Eukaryota; Viridiplantae; Streptophyta; Magnoliopsida; Poales; Poaceae.
GGUUAGUGACAAGAAUACCCAAAGGAAUAUUUUCACAAUUAUUUUUAUAUGCCCAAUACACAAGCUAAUGUUGCAAAUAAUUAAAAGCUCAUGUUACGAUCUGAUCAGUACUUGUUUUAGGACACUAAGCUUGUCCUUGGGAAACCGUCAAUUUAUGUCGGCGAAGUGGUUUCCCUUCCAAUCGCUGACCUAUAUCAAGAUCAACUCAACGAGAUCUGCAAUAUUUAUUAUAGACAUAUGCAUCGACAACCGCCCUUUUAAAGUUUUUAUAAAU